Molecule: ribosomal RNA, 433 nt
Filed under: uncultured bacterium
Lineage: Bacteria
Description: partial 16S ribosomal RNA
Rfam family: Bacterial small subunit ribosomal RNA
Source: RNAcentral
AGCGAACGCUGGCGGCAGGCUUAACACAUGCAAGUCGAGCGGGCACUUCGGUGUCAGCGGCAGACGGGUGAGUAACACGUGGGAACGUACCCUUUGGUUCGGAAUAACGCUGGGAAACUAGCGCUAAUACCGGAUACGCCCUUUUGGGGAAAGGCUUGCUGCCGAAGGAUCGGCCCGCGUCCGAUUAGCUAGUUGGUGGGGUAAUGGCCUACCAAGGCGACGAUCAGUAGCUGGUCUGAGAGGAUGAUCAGCCACACUGGGACUGAGACACGGCCCAGACUCCUACGGGAGGCGGCAGUGGGGAAUAUUGGACAAUGGGCGCAAGCCUGAUCCAGCCAUGCCGCGUGAGUGAUGAAGGCCUUAGGGUUGUAAAGCUCUUUUGUCCGGGACGAUAAUGACGGUACCGGAAGAAUAAGCCCCGGCUAACUUCGUG